AGCGCUUUGUGGUUUUUAAACCGCUUUGCAAAAGCUGCCUGAAAUUGUAGAGUAACACAUCGAGGCCAAAGCGACUUGGGAUAUCCUCCGCCCCGACUUUGAUUUCCAAAGGAUGCGAGAAGGGUGAAAAAGCUGGGAGCUGGGAGCGGGAAAAGGUCACCAGGUCGCAAAGGUCACCAGGUCGCAAAGGUCAGAGGUUAUAUUCGAACCUAGGUUUUCUGACUCCAGAGCUAGACACUAUGUAUUGGAAUACCUGCCAUCUGGGGAGGGGAAUUUGGAACAGAAGGUUUUGCAAAGGAGAAUGAGCAUCCAGAAAUGGAACUGAUCAUGUAACAACUUUAUGGACUUCAAAAUGUCAGAAUCAUCAGAAGUUCCCCUUAGCAAUCAAUUAGUUGCAGAUAUUACUGGGGUGUGCCUUUGAGUCUGAGUCCGUAAGCUAUCCUGGAGAGGCAAGCUACUUAAUCCAACCCAUCUUAAAAGAACACAACACUGUGCUGAUCCAGUUAGGAGGAUCUAACUCAUUUGAGCAAAGGAGCAACUUAUGCAUCAAUACUAACCUAAGAAAACUUACUGGGGCUUCACAGAGACAGAAAAGAACUCCUGGAGUCUUGACUCACAGACUUAAGUGAUCCCUAACUAUAUGCCUCAAUCCCAUUAUGCAUCCAUCUCUGUUUGUGAAAGAGGGAGAAUGUGUUCUCAAGUUGAAAGGUGUUUUGUACAAACGGCUUUAAGUUUAAGCCCAUUAUAUCCAUAGAAUCAUGCAGAUGGGAGAAUACAUCCUUAAUUUGGUGGGUAUUUUGAAAGGGCAAUUCUGCAUUAUCUUCUCA
This 827-nucleotide long non-coding RNA is filed under the name Sarcophilus harrisii (Tasmanian devil). RNAcentral's name for it is "lncRNA (ENSSHAG00000025706.1)". Lineage: Eukaryota; Metazoa; Chordata; Mammalia; Dasyuromorphia; Dasyuridae. The record is from RNAcentral.